GGACUGAGCGCUGAAUAUCAGAUAGUGUGUGAGGUAAAAGCUCCACCAGCGACGAUCCUGUAGCUGUUUGAAGAGACCGACCAGCCACCACUGGGACUGAAGACACGUCCAGACUCCUACGGGAGGCAGCAGUGGGGAAUUUUGGACAUUAUGGGCGCGAGCCUGAUCCAGCAAUGCCGCGUGCAGGAAGAAGGCCUUCGGGUUGUAAACUGCUUUUGGACGGAACGAAAAGGUCUGCUUUAAUAAAGCGGGCUCAUAGACGAGUACCGUAAGAAUAAGCACCGGCUAACUACGUGCCAGCAGCCGCGGUAAUACGUAGGGUGCGAGCGUUAAUCGGAAUUACUGGGCGUAAAGCGUGCGCAGGCGGUGAUGUAAGACAGUUGUGAAAUCCCCGGGCUCAACCUGGGAAUUGCAUCUGUGACUGCAUCGCUAGAGUACGGUAGAGGGGGAUGGAAUUCCGCGUGUAGCAGUGAAAUGCGUAGAUAUGCGGAGGAACACCGAUGGCGAAGGCAAUCCCCUGGACCUGUACUGACGCUCAUGCACGAAAGCGUGGGGAGCAAACAUGAUUAGAUACCCUGGUAGUCCACGCCCUAAACGAUGUCUACAAGUUGUUGGGUGCAUUAGUACUCAGUAACGAAGCUAACGCGUGAAGUUGACCGCCUGGAGACGCACGGCCGCAAGGUUGAAACUCAAAGGAAUUGACGGGGACCCGCACAAGCGGUGGAUGAUGUGGUUUAAUUCGAUGCAACGCGAAUAACCUUACCUACCUUUGACAUGUACGGAACUCGCCAGAGAUGGCUUGGUGCUCGAAAGAGAACCGUAACACAGGUGCUGCAUGGCUGUCGUCAGCU
RNAcentral lists this ribosomal RNA (851 nucleotides) under uncultured bacterium. Its description in RNAcentral is "bacterial SSU rRNA". It matches the Rfam family "Bacterial small subunit ribosomal RNA", at positions 223 to 1060 of the family's 1533-position model. The record is from RNAcentral.